Molecule: ribosomal RNA, 253 nt
Filed under: uncultured bacterium
Lineage: Bacteria
Description: partial 16S ribosomal RNA
Rfam family: Bacterial small subunit ribosomal RNA
Source: RNAcentral
UGCAGAGGGUGCAAGCGUUAAUCGGAAUUACUGGGCGUAAAGCGUGCGUAGACGGUAGCGUAAGUCGGGUGUGAAAGCCCCGGGCUCAACCUGGGAACUGCAUUUGUGACUGUAGAGCUGGAGUACGGUAGAGGGGGAUGGAAUUCCGCGUGUAGCAGUGAAAUGCGUAGAUAUGCGGAGGAACACCGAUGGCGAAGGCAAUCCCCUGGACCUGUACUGACGCUCAUGCACGAAAGCGUGGGGAGCAAACAGG